UAAGAUUGGCACUAAUAGUACUUGCAAAAACCGACCAAGUGUGAUUGCUAAUUUGGUGUAUAUAUCUUGUCUAAUAUUCCUUUCCUCCUACCCCAAUAAAAAUCUAACUUCACAAAAUGAGCUGAUGCUUGGUAAGGCCUUAGGCCUGUGCUGUAUAUCAACCCAACUUUAACCUUCCUCCACACGAUCGAGUAGUAAAUGUUCUGUUUUCAGUGGAUUUUUUGGACCUACUUCACUUUCCAAUAGUUACUGAAGAAUAUAUACAGUCGUAAGAAUAUAUACUACAUGAUAUUUGAGUUUGAUCAACUUAUUGUUUCAUCUUAUGCAGAUAAUCAAUCGACAGCAACCUUUCUGCAAAAGCCUAAAGGACUACAAAAUGUGAUUCUAGCUAGUCUAGCUAUGGAGAAAAAUCAAAGAGCAGCAGAGACUAUUGACAAUUCGGAAUCAUUUUAUACCAUGCACUACUACAAAGUGAAGACUACUGUUCAUGCAGUGUACUUUUACAACCUUUACGUCACUUUCAUUCCCACUUUCAGCUCAAGAAUAUAUAUAUAUAUAUAUAUAUAUAUAUAUAUAUGGGUUCUCAUCCGCGCUGGCCACGAACACUAUUCCGACAACCAUAAUCCUAAUCGUUGAUUGUAAUUCCAUAAAUUGAUGCACUUAAUUUGGCUAGUGAGAGUUAUCUUGAAUCAGUGCCUAAUUCUUGCCAAAUGUCUCAAUGUAUGAUGAGGUCAACUUGAGUGCACUUACCAAGCAAAGGAAAAGUCAGCUUUUACUAUCUUCUUAAUUCUUUUAAUAGCAUCCCCUCCUUCCCCCCACCCCACCCCACUUAGUCGUCCACUUUCAUAUUUGUCAUAUCGGUUUUAAUUUCAUGAGUUGAAGUAUCUGAAACAUGCAUGUUACCAUAUGUACACAUACAUUACUUAAUCACCAGCUAGAGCGGUGGUCCAGUCCAAUGGUUUUACCCAAGGUCCGGGACACCUCUAACUGUUAAAUCCCCAUUGCACAUUUUAUCAACACCCUCGAUCACUUUGGAGGAAUAUUAUUAUUAUCAAGUAUGAAUAAAUUUUUGAAUUAGGAUUCUUAAACUGCAUUAUAUAAUUAAAUAA
RNAcentral lists this long non-coding RNA (1109 nucleotides) under Panax ginseng (ginseng). RNAcentral's name for it is "long non-coding RNA (PGIN_LNC006759)". The record is from RNAcentral. Lineage: Eukaryota; Viridiplantae; Streptophyta; Magnoliopsida; Apiales; Araliaceae.